Molecule: non-coding RNA, 78 nt
Organism: Schistosoma haematobium
Lineage: Eukaryota; Metazoa; Platyhelminthes; Trematoda; Strigeidida; Schistosomatidae
Source: Rfam
AGCAUUUCCAACCCGUGCAGAGAUUUCAUCAGACACCAACCCACUAUGUCUGAUCAGACUUCCUAGAUAAGUGAAGCU